Molecule: ribosomal RNA, 675 nt
Filed under: Vreelandella aquamarina
Lineage: Bacteria; Pseudomonadati; Pseudomonadota; Gammaproteobacteria; Oceanospirillales; Halomonadaceae
Description: bacterial SSU rRNA
Rfam family: Bacterial small subunit ribosomal RNA
Source: RNAcentral
UAAUGCAUAGGAAUCUGCCCGAUAGUGGGGGAUAACCUGGGGAAACCCAGGCUAAUACCGCAUACGUCCUACGGGAGAAAGGGGGCUCCGGCUCCCGCUAUGGGAUGAGCCUAUGUCGGAUUAGCUAGUUGGUGAGGUAACGGCUCACCAAGGCCACGAUCCGUAGCUGGUCUGAGAGGAUGAUCAGCCACAUCGGGACUGAGACACGGCCCGAACUCCUACGGGAGGCAGCAGUGGGGAAUAUUGGACAAUGGGGGCAACCCUGAUCCAGCCAUGCCGCGUGUGUGAAGAAGGCCCUCGGGUUGUAAAGCACUUUCAGCGAGGAAGAACGCCUAGCGGUUAAUACCCGCUAGGAAAGACAUCACUCGCAGAAGAAGCACCGGCUAACUCCGUGCCAGCAGCCGCGGUAAUACGGAGGGUGCAAGCGUUAAUCGGAAUUACUGGGCGUAAAGCGCGCGUAGGUGGCUUGAUAAGCCGGUUGUGAAAGCCCCGGGCUCAACCUGGGAACGGCAUCCGGAACUGUCAAGCUAGAGUGCAGGAGAGGAAGGUAGAAUUCCCGGUGUAGCGGUGAAAUGCGUAGAGAUCGGGAGGAAUACCAGUGGCGAAAGGCGGCCUUCUGGACUGACACUGACACUGAGGUGCGAAAGCGUGGGUAGCAAACAGGAUUAGAUACCC